UACGUAGGGUGCGAGCGUUAAUCGGAAUUACUGGGCGUAAAGCGUGCGCAGGCGGUCUGUUAAGACCGAUGUGAAAUCCCCGGGCUUAACCUGGGAACUGCAUUGGUGACUGGCAGGCUUUGAGUGUGGCAGUGGGAGGUAGAAUUCCACGUGUAGCAGUGAAAUGCGUAGAGAUGUGGAGGAAUACCGAUGGCGAAGGCAGCCUCCUGGGCCAACACUGACGCUCAUGCACGAAAGCGUGGGGAGCAAACAGG
Molecule: ribosomal RNA, 254 nt
Filed under: uncultured bacterium
Lineage: Bacteria
Description: partial 16S ribosomal RNA
Rfam family: Bacterial small subunit ribosomal RNA
Source: RNAcentral